This is a long non-coding RNA of Hordeum vulgare subsp. vulgare (domesticated barley), 1219 nucleotides long. RefSeq lists it as uncharacterized. The transcript has 2 exons. NCBI's taxonomy places the organism in Eukaryota, Viridiplantae, Streptophyta, Magnoliopsida, Poales, Poaceae. The record is from RefSeq and is a predicted model, not a curated record.
UUAAAAGACUUAUAUUUAAGUACGGAGGGAGUAGUAGGCGGUAAACAUCAUAGCAGGCUAGCAGCACAUAGUUUAAAUUUUUGAUAAACAAAAAGGUGGCACAUGGUUUUAGUUAAUCCUGUGGGUGAUUGGCAGUGGCGGACUUGCAGGGUGGCCAGGGUGGGGGCUCACCCUGGGAUUUUACACCCAGUCGGCCUACUAGGCCUGUGGCCCGGCCCGAAUCGCCAGGCGUCCGAUUACCAGACGCGAGCUGCCGAACCGACCCCGAUUCCCGAGUGUUGCGGUUCCCCGUUCCCUGCCGCCGCCGCCGGCUCGCCGCGACGCCGCCCGCCGCUCCGCGCCUCCGCCAGUCCGACUCGGCGCACCCCGACCCGGCCACCGGCCCGUGGCGCCGUUGUCCGCCCCUGCUCCAGCCUCCAGGCUCCGACGACCGACGCAGAGGACGCCGCAGGCUGCAGCCGACGCCCGACGCGGGGAGCUCCAGGAUGCCGCUGCGCAGCCGACGCCCGACGGGGGGUGCACCCCUGCCGCCCUGCGCUGUGCAGUCUGCACUCUGCUGCUCUGCUUCUUCUGUUUUAGCCUUUUAGAUUUGUUGUAAAAUGAAGAGGGGUGGAGACAUUGUUUCUUUUUUCCAGAAAGAAGCUAUGAGGAUAGGGAAGAAAAAGAAAGCGGGGAAUAUGCCGGAUGUGGCCGAAGAGCAAACUGGAGAACUUUGUGUGUGCCAGUUGUGAUCGAACAACAAACUGAAGAACCAACAUUGUCUAUGUCUAGUGUGACCAUAGGGAAAACUGAAGAUGUGUCACCUGCAUUACCACCGGUUUAUGAUUUCAGUCGUCUUAAACAUGAUCCCGGAGAAAGGAUAUCCAUUGCAAGUUAUCCUGUUAAUGAUCAAGACGCAGUUCGAAGAGCAUAUAUCCUUAAAAAGCCAUUCAAACCUUAUGCACAUGACUUUGAAAAAAGAUCAAUUGGGAGUAGAGAACGUUGGUUCAAUCCUUUGUGGCUUCAUAACCAUAGUUGGCUUGAAUAUAGUAUCAUGAAAGAAUCUGCAUUUUGCUUUGUGUUACCUGUUCAAAGAGAAGAAAACUAGUGGUAAGGGAACUAGUGCAUUUAUUGAUGGUGGUUGGAGGAAUUGGAAUAGAGAGGAUGCUCUUCUUAAGCAUGUUGGUUGUGUAACAAGUGUGCACAAUGCAACUCAAGAGAGAUAUAACUUAUUUGUGAA